RNAcentral lists this ribosomal RNA (973 nucleotides) under uncultured bacterium. RNAcentral describes it as "bacterial SSU rRNA". It matches the Rfam family "Bacterial small subunit ribosomal RNA", at positions 55 to 1023 of the family's 1533-position model. The record is from RNAcentral.
AUGCAAGUCGAACGGAAACGAUACUAGCUUGCUAGUAGGCGUCGAGUGGCGGACGGGUGAGUAACGCGUAGGAAUCUGCCUGAUAGUGGGGGAUAGCCCGAAGAAAUUCGGAUUAAUACCGCAUAAUCUAUUCGUAGUAAAGUGGGGGACUUUCGAGCCUCACGCUAUCAGAUGAGCCUGCGUAAGAUUAGCUUGUUGGUAGGGUAAAAGCCUACCAAGGCGACGAUCUUUAGCUGGUCUGAGAGGAUGAUCAGCCACAUCGGGACUGAGACACGGCCCGAACUCCUACGGGAGGCAGCAGUGGGGAAUAUUGGACAAUGGGGGCAACCCUGAUCCAGCAAUACCGCGUGUGUGAAGAAGGCCUGAGGGUUGUAAAGCACUUUCAAUUGUGAAGAAAAGUUAGCGGUUAAUAACCGUUAGCCUUGACGUUAACUUUAGAAGAAGCACCGGCUAACUCCGUGCCAGCAGCCGCGGUAAUACGGAGGGUGCAAGCGUUAAUCGGAAUUACUGGGCGUAAAGCGUGCGUAGGCGGUUUAUUAAGUCAGAUGUGAAAGCCCCGGGCUUAACCUGGGAACUGCAUUUGAAACUGGUCAACUAGAGUAUGGUAGAGGAAAGUGGAAUUUCUGGUGUAGCGGUGAAAUGCGUAGAUAUCAGAAGGAACAUCAAUGGCGAAGGCAGCUUUCUGGACCAAUACUGACGCUGAGGUACGAAAGCGUGGGUAGCAAACAGGAUUAGAUACCCUGGUAGUCCACGCCGUAACGAUGAUACUAGCCGUUGGGGGGAUUUACCCUUUAGUGGCGAAGCUAACGCGUUAAGUUAUCCGCCUGGGGAGUACGGCCGCAAGGUUAAAACUCAAAGGAAUUGACGGGACCCGCACAAGCGGUGGAGCAUGUGGUUUAAUUCGAUGCAACGCGAGAACCUUACCUGGUCUUGACAUCCUGCGAACUUUCUAGAAAUAGAUUGGUGCCUUCGG